RNAcentral lists this ribosomal RNA (253 nucleotides) under uncultured bacterium. Its description in RNAcentral is "partial 16S ribosomal RNA". It matches the Rfam family "Bacterial small subunit ribosomal RNA", at positions 524 to 776 of the family's 1533-position model. The record is from RNAcentral.
UACGUAGGGACCAAGCGUUGUUCGGAUUUACUGGGCGUAAAGGGCCCGUAGGCGGCUUAACAAGUCACUUGUGAAAUCUCCGGGCUUAACUCGGAACGGCCAAGUGAAACUGUUAUGCUAGAGUGCGGAAGGGGCAAUCGGAAUUCUUGGUGUAGCGGUGAAAUGCGUAGAUAUCAAGAGGAACACCUGAGGUGAAGACGGGUUGCUGGGCCGACACUGACGCUGAUGCGCGAAAGCCAGGGGAGCAAACGGG